This 414-nucleotide ribosomal RNA is filed under the name uncultured microorganism. RNAcentral's name for it is "bacterial SSU rRNA". It matches the Rfam family "Archaeal small subunit ribosomal RNA", at positions 459 to 872 of the family's 1478-position model. The record is from RNAcentral.
CAGCCGCCGCGGUAAUACCGGCGGCCCGAGUGGCGGCCACUAUUAUUGGGCUUAAAGCGUCCGUAGCCGGGUUGGUUAGUCUCCCGGGAAAUCUGGCCGCUUAACGGUCAGAAUUCCGGGAGAUACUGCCAGCCUAGGGACCGGGAGAGGCCGAGGGUAUUCCCGGAGUAGGGGUAAAAUCCACUGAUCCCGGGAGGACCACCGGUGGCGAAGGCGGCCGCCCAGAACACGCCCGACGGUGAGGGGUGAAAGCUGGGGGAGCAAACGGGAUUAGAUACCCCGGUAGUCCCAGCUGUAAACGAUGCGGGCUAGGUGUCGGGUGGGCUACGGGCUCACCCGGUGCCGAAGGGAAACCAUUAAGACCGCCGCCUGGGGAGUACGGCCGCAAGGCUGAAACUUAAAGGAAUUGGCGGG